GUAGUCCACGCAGUAAACGAUGAGUGCUAGGUGCUGGGUGUAUGCUCAGUGCCGUAGCUAACGCGUUAAGCACUCCGCCUGGGAAGUACGGUCGCAAGAUUAAAACUCAAAGGAAUUGACGGGGACCCGCACAAGCGGUGGAACAUGUGGUUUAAUUCGAUGCUACGCGAAAAACCUUACCAAGCCUUGACAUGCUAGUCGUACGACUAUGAAAGUAGUCAGUCAGUUCGGCUGGACUAGCACAGGUGCUGCAUGGCUGUCGUCAGCUCGUGUCGUGAGAUGUUGGGUUAAGUCCCGCAACGAGCGCAACCCUUACCCUUAGUUGCUAGCAGGUAAUGCUGAGUACUUUAAGGGAACUGCCGGUGACAAGCCGGA
RNAcentral lists this ribosomal RNA (375 nucleotides) under uncultured bacterium. RNAcentral describes it as "bacterial SSU rRNA". It matches the Rfam family "Bacterial small subunit ribosomal RNA", at positions 790 to 1167 of the family's 1533-position model. The record is from RNAcentral.